RNA transcript from Artibeus jamaicensis (Jamaican fruit-eating bat), 5151 nucleotides. It is a transcript of the gene named HPS5 biogenesis of lysosomal organelles complex 2 subunit 2, with no coding region annotated. NCBI's taxonomy places the organism in Eukaryota, Metazoa, Chordata, Mammalia, Chiroptera, Phyllostomidae. The transcript is spliced from 25 exons. The record is from RefSeq and is a predicted model, not a curated record.
CAGUUGUCCGUCGCGCUCCGGGAUGACGUAAGCCAAGGAGGGGAGGAGUGAGAGCAGAGACCAGUUGAGGUGUUCCUUUAGGUGCUGGGUUUAAUGCAGAAGUACUGUGCCUAUCACUCAACAUAGUUUCAGCUUUCCAGCUAAAUGACGUCUGUGCCAGUGAUACCGGAGCCCUACACCCAUGUUCUUGCAGAGUUUGAAUCUCUGGAUCCAUUACUUUCAGCCCUGAGGCUGGACUCUAGUCGUCUAAAGUGCACGAGCAUAGCUGUGUCUCGGAAAUGGCUGGCUUUGGGCAGUUCGGGCGGAGGUCUCAACCUCAUUCAGAAAGAAGGCUGGAAGCACAGGCUUUUUCUUUCCCACAGGGAAGGUGCGAUUUCUCAGGUUGCCUGUUGUUCACACGACGAUGAUUAUGUUGCUGUGGCUACCAGUCAAGGUCUUGUGGUUGUUUGGGAAUUAAAUCAAGAGCGCCGUGGGAAACCAGAAAGAAUUUAUGUGUCUUCAGAACACAAGGGCCAAAGAGUCACAGCUCUCUGUUGGGAUACAGCGGUUCUUCGAGUUUUUGUGGGUGAUCACAUGGGGAAGGUUUCGGCCAUCAAACUCAACACUUCUAAACAAGCAAAGGCAGCUGCUGCCUUUGUGAUGUUUCCCGUUCAGACAAUAACGACAGUUGACUCCUGUGUGGUCCAGUUAGAUUAUUUGGACGGGAGACUACUUAUAUCUUCACUCACUCGAUCCUUCUUGUGUGACACCGAGAGAGAAAAAUUUUGGAAAAUUGGAAACAAGGAGAGAGAUGGAGAAUAUGGAGCUUGUUUCUUCCCUGGAAGGUGUUCUGCGGGCCAGCAGCCCCUCAUAUAUUGUGCCCGCCCUGGCUCCAGGAUGUGGGAAGUGAACUUCGAUGGGGAAGUUAUAAGUACCCAUCAGUUUAAGAAACUCCUCUCGUCGCCCCCUCUCCCUGUGAUUACUCUAAGAUCAGAACCUCAGUACGAUCAUACGGUUGGAUCCUCCCAGUCUUUGUCUUUCCCCAAACUUUUGCAUCUUAGUGAGCAUUGUGUGUCAAGUUGGACAGAAAGAGGAAUUUAUAUUUUCAUUCCUCAGAAUGUUCAAGUUCUUCUUUGGAGUGAAGUCAAAGAUAUCCAGGAUGUGGCGGUCUGCAAGAACGAGCUGUUCUGUUUGCACCUGAGCGGGAAAAUCUCGCACCUGUCCCUCGUGUCUGUGGAGCGUUGUGUGGAGCGCCUGCUAAGGCGAGGGCUGUGGGACCUGGCUGCUCGCACUUGCUGCCUCUUCCAGAAUUCUCUCAUUGCGGGCAGGGGAAGAAAAUCUUUGACUGUAGAUAAGUUGGAGCAUUUGAAAUCUCAGCUGGACCUCACAACCUAUAGUGAUUUGAUUUCUCAACUGGAAGAAUUGAUCUUAAAAUUUGAGCCUUUGGAUUCAGAUUGCAGUAGUAGGAGAAGUUCCAUUUCAUCACAUGAAAGUUUCAGCAUCUUGGACUCUGGUAUUUAUCGUGUCAUUAGUAGUAGAAGAGGCAGUCAGUCAGAUGAAGACUCUUGUUCCCUUCACAGCCAAACUCUCUCAGAAGACGAGAGACUUAGAGAAUUCACCUCCCAUCAGGAAGAGGACCAGCCAGAUCCGGGCUGCAGCUCACACGGAGGUGAAGACAAUGUUUCUCAUGUUCCAGUGACGUUCGAGACAGAUAAGAACGAAACUUUUCUCCCCUUCGGCAUCCCAUUAUCAUUUCGCUCUCCAUCUCCUCUCGUGUCUCUUCAGGCUGUCAAGGAAAGUGUUUCUAGCUUUGUGCGUAAAACUACUGAGAAGAUUGGCACCCUUCACACAAGCCCGGAUCUGAAAGUGAGACAGGAACCCAGGGGCGAUGAGCAGUCAUGUGAGGAAGAUGUGAGCUCGGUCACCUGCCCAAAGGACGAGGACACUGAGGAAAAAAAAGAAGUAACUAGUCAACCUCCAGAAGAAGAUAAAUUCCAAGAGCUCAAAAUAGCAACAGCAGAAGCUAUGACCAAGCUACAGGACCCACUGGUUUUAUUUGAACCCGAGUCUCUGAGGAUGGUUUUACAGGAGUGGCUUCCACAGUUAGAAAAAACAUUUGCCACGCAAGACACUGGCAACUCAUCCAUGACGUCUAAUGAGGAUGUGGAAUUGUUUGAUGAGUCAAAAAAUGGAAUAUUAGAUGAAGAUAAUGAAAAAGAAAAAGGGGACUCUUUAGGCAAUGAAGAAACUAUUGCUCAAAUGGCAUGUGAACCUGUAAACAGUCUGAGGGAGCCCUUGGAUGGCCUUUUUCGAGUAUGUUCUCCAUGCAGUAUAGCAGAUGGUCUCCAGAAGGACCUGGCUGAAUUGACAACAUUGUGUUUGGAAUUGAAUGUGUUCAAUUCUGAGACUGAAAGCACAAAUGGACACGUGGACAACGCUUUGCAACAGUGCUCUCCUGAAAUUCUGCCUUGUCAGUUCCUGAAGAAGUACUUUUUUCUCCUGGACUUGAAGAGGGCAAAGGAGAGUAUCAAGCUUAGUUACACUAACACUCCUUGUGUUUGGGAUACUUUUAUUGAAGGAUUGAAAGAAAUGGCAAGUUCCAGUCCUACAUACUUGGAGAUGGAAGAAGGAGACCUACCAACCAGAUUAAAGUUCGUGGAUGACUCAGUCCCUUUUGACAGUCCUUUGUUGAUUGCUUAUGCUACCCGAUUGUAUGAGAAGUUCGGGGAAUCUGCCCUCCGAUCCUUAAUCAAGUUUUACCCCUCUAUUUCACCUUCGGACGUGAUGCAACUUUGUCAUCAGCACCCCGAGCGGUUUUUGGCCUACUUAGACAGUCUGGUGAAGUCAAGACCUGAAGAUCAACGGCCCUCCUUCCUGGAGUCCCUUGUACAACGAGAGUCUGUAAAAUUGGAUUGGCUACUUUCGGCAGUGUCCCAUGAUGCUCCCCCAAGCACAAGCACUGUAGAUGAUGAAGGACACCCCAGGCCUCAUUCACACCUGUUUUCCUGGGGUUAUAGUCAGCUGAUCCUUCAUCUAAUCAAACUGCCUGCAGAUUUUACAACCAAAGAGAAAAUGACGGACAUCUGCAGGUCUCAUGGUUUCUGGCCUGGAUACCUUACUCUCUGUUUGGAGCUGGAGAGAAGAAGGGAAGCCUUUGCCAACAUUGUGUGUCUGAAUGACAUGAGCCUGAUGGAAGGGGACAGUGGUUGGGUUCCAGAGACCGUGGAGGAAUGGAAGCUUCUCCUUCACCUUGUACAGAACAAGAACAUAAAGCCAGUGCCCCAGAAGUCAGCAAAUGGGAACUUCGGUGAUGGGCCUUCCCCUGUCAAUGUGGAGAAUGUGGCACUGCUCUUAGCCAAGGCCAUGGGUCCAGAUCGGGCCUGGUCACUGCUACAGGAGUGUGGUUUGACCCUGGAGCUGUCAGAGAGGUUCACUAGAACCUGCGACAUCCUGAGGAUUGCUGAGAAAAGGCAGAGAGCCUUGAUACAAAGCAUGCUUGAAAAGUGCGAUCGAUUUCUCUGGUCUCAGCAGGCCUAGUGGAAGAAGACUGAACAGGAUGUUGUGACAUUUUGAGGAAAACAGAAUCAUGCUGCUGAAUCUUCUGAAUGUGUGUGUCACUGGAGGAAAGGCACUACCUGAAAACCCUGCCACCUUAUUGGGAACACUUUGCCCAGUGUCUGCAGCCUCCACAUUUAUGGCUUCUCUGUGGCCUCAGUGUUUCUCUACCAAAGUAGACCUUCAAAAGGAAUCGGUUGUUGUUUACUCCCAUGAAGUGUUCUGGACACGGAAUAUCCCAACAUCACACCUUCCCUCUAGCAUCGGCUGGGUUACGGAGCGCGUCGAAUGUGAGUCUGUACUAAGAACAAGGGGCUGAAAUCUUUACUUCAGUCGGGAACAGUAACUUCACAGUGAGGUCAGAGCCACAACCAGCCCUUCCCACCCUUGGAUUAGAAGAAAUCUGGACACCAAGCAACUUGCUGAAGAAAAACACAGACUUACAACACCGAGCUGCUGUGCCAAGAUGACGCGCCCGGAGUUUCUAGUCCAGCCUGGUAUGUGAGCCAAACAGAACAGUGAGGCCUGGGGAAUUCCCACUGGGUAGUUCUUCCAGAGGGCUAAGAAAAUAGGAACCAGCGCAGCCCGUGCUGAGUCAGUAGAGACUAUUCUCCUGGGUUGUGGCUUCCGUCUUGGCCAGCUAUACAUCAUUCCUGAUGGAUGACUCUGAAUCAAUCUGCAUAUUCAGUUACUAUGUUCCCCUUGUGAUCUAGGCCCAUGUGUAUCUGAGAUUAGCAGACAAAGCCUGGCUUUGGGGACAUAGUCUCAGUGUUCUUAAUUCUCAGGCUGUGGAGCUUCUAGUAAACGGCUCAUUUCAGGGCUUGAGGCCUGUGGGUCAUGCACAGCCCCCAGCGUGGCUGAGCCCUGUGUUUGGCUUAGCUUGUGUCCCCUCCACCCAAACACACACGCACAAGCUCGGUCUUCUUAUGAGUGCCCAUCCAUCACCCACUGGUAACAAAGAGGCAGUCCUUACACCAGGAAUAACACACAGUUUUCAUCAUUCCAUCUGCUAAGCGUUUAUUACACACCCAUUAGGUGCACUCAGUCAGCAAAUGGAGAUGUAGAACUGGAUGACUCUGUCUCUGCCCACAGGGGGUCACAGCCCCGGUCCUGGGAGCACAGAGAAGGGGUCAGUACUUGCUGGGCAGGCCAGGAGGUCUGAAGUAAUUGGGGUCUUUGCCACUCCGGCCCCAUUCAUUGGCUAUCUGGUCCUGCCUCGAGUCCUCCUCUCCGUGGCCACUGUCUCCAUACUUGAAAAAGUCUGUGACCCUCUGAGACUUCUCUCUGGCAUCGCUUGAUGGAGGAGAGAAGGAGGGAGAUGAAUCAGAGGCUGGGGUUGGAUGGAGGAGGUGGACAGGGAGAACAUGAGGGGGACUGCACAGACCCCUACAGGGUCCUUCUCUAGGGCUAUGCCCUCCUGAUCCCCAAAGGCAGCUACCUCUGCUCACCACCCUGACACCCCAAGAACCUGGUUACCUGAGCACUCUAGCAGCCCAUUCGCCCCCAGGGCCCCUCCGGGCAGCCUCAAAGUUCCCCCGGGCGUGGAAGUAUUUAUCUGCACCUAUGAAAUUGGCUUCUCUCAUGUCCGAGUAAGCUCUCCACAUGUCUUUAGCCCCU